Molecule: long non-coding RNA, 3026 nt
Organism: Lolium perenne
Lineage: Eukaryota; Viridiplantae; Streptophyta; Magnoliopsida; Poales; Poaceae
Source: RefSeq, a predicted model, not a curated record
AAUCUUUGAAUCUCUGUUUUUAUAGAACAAAUAGAAACAUGGAAAAAAUGCUCUAGACUAGGCAGUGUUAUUAGUUUGUGACAAAGCGAGCACCACACCUGCUGUCUGUGCUUUUGUUAUACUUAAUGAUGCAUUUUAUUUGCUUCAUAUUUGCAUUAUAUUAUUGGAAGCAACAUUAUUAAUUUAUACUAAUUUGCACACUUUUUAAUAUGAUUUAUACCAGAUAUCCUAACAUUUUGGUCAAGGGUAAGAAAAAUGUAUAACCUUGUUUCAAGCUAGAGUAAGUAUUCACAUAUUUCAUUAUUCUGAUCAAAAUACAAAUAUUCCAUCCUUAGUUGCUAAGGUAUACUGCAUUUGCGUAGUGCAUACAUUAUCCUCCAUCUUUCAUUUAAACAAAGUAAUAUAUAUGAUCCAUGACUCUUGUUUGUUAUUAUGAAAUUUAUCUUGUUUUCUGUUUUCUACUAAUCUUCUUCUCUUUUACCCCUUGCUUUCAAAGUGCAGUUGUGCUUUUCGGUGAAAAUCUCAGUGGCUGCCAUUGCGCAUGCCAUUAGAGGUCAAGAAUCAGAAAACUCCAUGAAGCCCUCCAAGUUAUUGAUAUCAUACUGAGGCAACAUUCUGCAAAACGAUGUCUCAGUUACAAGGAUUGCUAAACCUGGUCAUGUUACCAAUUUUAUUCUUGCUAACCAGAAAGUUGAUCGCCCUGACAGGGUUGACUGGCAAAAGGUCGUGUGAUUGCAAGAAUUUGCUUUAUUCUGGUCUUGAUUUGCUCAGUGCUUUUGUGUUAUGAAUUGAAGGCUCUUCUACUUUUACAUAAAGAAACACAUGGAUUUAUUGGCUGCCCUCAUAUUGUAGUGGACACACCUGUAAGGUUUUAUCUCUAGCUAGAGAGAAGGACCUUUGUUUGAAGAAUGUGAGGCAUUUCAUUCUUGCUGAGUCCCGGGGAUGGUGGUUUGCACGCAGACCAACGUGAAGCCCACCAUAAUCUAUUUAGACCAUUAGCUAGUACUUUUUCCAUGUUAAGUGCCUGGUAUAACAACCUUACUUUAUAUACUUGUUGGAACACUAUGUUAAAUGAUGUGCAAUUUUCCGUACUUGUUAUGGUAAUUCCUUGCUGUAGAAUUAACCUUGAUAAGUAUGUAAAAAUAUGUGACUAGGUGAGCUUGACAAAAUGCCACCAUUUUCUGAAUAUUCGAAUCUUCUUUUCGUAAUGCAUUAUGUUAACUCUGUAGGAACAUGUGGGCAAUCUUGUGAUACACAAUAUUUUUAUUGAUUAAUUACUGCCAACUGGAUAUCCUUAUGAUGCACAUAUUUCCUUGUAGGAUCUCCCUAGUUUGACUAGCAGUUUCAGUAAAGGAAGUCAAAUAUAAUGAGUGAGAGGGAGAUCUGCUCUGGGAGACAUCGCCGGGGCUGGAUAGAGGUUUUAGAAGCCUGUGAGCAUAGGACAUUGCUGUCCCCAUUGAUAGCUUCUUCCCAUUUUCUUCUAGUUGCAUUUCGACUACUUCCUGCUUUGCCUUCGCCCUCACUUCAUUGUUUUGGGAGAAGAGAAUCAUCAGGACUGUCCUCAUGCUGCUAUUUCAUAGGCGUGGUGUACAUAUUCUAUCCUCGCCAAGCACCUUCCACGCUACGGCUUGGUCGAAGGAGACAUGCCUGACAUCCCCGACAUGCACAUGCCUGACGGCAGAAUUUUUUUCGGACCUGUUUUGUCAAGAGGUGGUCGGUUAAUUUCUCUGCACGGUGUGAUGUUCGAGGUCUUGGCCGAGACCUUCAAUGGAUUACAUUAUUUUUUUUCAAGAAAAACCAUCAUACCAGAUCCUUUCCGACUGGAUCUCCAGAGAAUGUUCCUCUAGGUAAACUCUAUUUUGAUCCUACUUUCCUUAUAGAGUGAAACAUCGCCCUUGUCAUGUAAUUGUUGUGAAAUGAGGUAAAAACGGGUGUUAAUGUCAUUCUGUAGGUACUGUGGCGGCUAAGCAAGUCGGCCAUCCCAAGAAUUUCGACUUGUACAUGAUAACAUGAUUGUAAGCAAUCGCUGCUUUCUCCUCUGUUUAUCGUUACCACAUACCAAUAGGUUGGUGGUAGUUUGCAGGUCUCUUAGGUUACCUUGCAAUUUACGUCGGGCUAAUUUCUUUGUGUUUGUUGUGUGUGCCAGGGAACCUCAAGGCCAACACAUUACCAUGUUCUUCAUGAUGAGAUCGGCUUCACUUCUGAUGCGCUUCAUGAAUUUGUGCAUUCCCUUACGUGAAGGAGUGCAGUUGCAUGUUGUACAGUGGUGGUUGCCGUCGCCUCCUGCGCAUAAUGCACGGUUUUAAUCCUGUAUGGCAUUUGUGUUCCAUUACCUCGUGUACUUCCUCUUCGACUCCUGCUGCUGCGACCCAAAAGGGGCAGCGGUGGCCUUAUUCUCCACCUCUACGUUUUUGAAGGACUAGAUGAUGGCAUCUGCAGCUGGAUUCAUCUCGCAGCUCGACGAUGUCAUUGGGUCCGAACCGAGCUCAGCUGCACUGUGACAUCCAGCCCGACCAGAAGGAUAUUCUAGAGGACUAGAUGGCUGAUACCGGCUAUGCAUCUCUGCUCCUGUGGUGCUGCUACAGUGCUGGCCUGGCCCUUGUGUGAUUUAUUAUUGAAUUUGCUUGUAAUUUUGACCUUGCAUCGUCUAUUUAUUUUUUGUAGUGUGGUUAGACUACUGUUGAUAAUUUGAUCUGUGUUGUAGAUGUUGAGAAAACGAGUUUGAGUUGACGCAAAAAAAUCUGGUGCUCCAUCUAAUUAACCGUUGGUGUAUCCCAAGAAUCAUGGAAGCUGAGCAUUGUAGAUUUUCAAGCAAUCAUAUGUAUGCUGGCUUCUUGCGCUAGCUGGUGCUGCGUGUUGUCAUGUUUUUAUAUCCAUAUUACUACUACCUCUAGCCUUAUAUACUUGUCGCAGAUUUUGCAAAAUAUAGCCUAAAUUUUAUCUAGACUCUCUCAACCAGUUACAAUUAUAUAUCAGGAGCUGUGUAAACUCAAUUAUUCAUAAUUUAAGGUUGUGUGCUAUACCAU